UUGAUUAGGAUUUGAUUUAGGAUUUGAUUAAGGUUUGAUUUAGGAUUUGAUUAGGGUUUGAUUUAGGAUUUAGAAUUUUCUUCAGAAUUGAUUUAAGGUUUAGGAUGUAGUUAGGAUUUGGUUUAGGAUGUAGUUAAGAUUUGGUUUAGGAUUUAAGAUUUGAUUAGGAUUUGAUUUAAGAUUUAGAGUUUGAUUAGGAUUUAAUUUAGGAUUUAGAAUUUGGUUAAGGUUUGAUUUAGAGUUAGGAUUUGAUUUAAAGUUAAGAUUUGAUCAGGAUUUGAUUUAGGAUUCAAGAUUUGGUUAGGGUUUGAUUUAGGAUUUAGGAUUUGAUUAGGAUUUGGUUAGGAUUUGCUUUAGAAUUUAGGAUUUGAUUUAGGAUUUAGAAUUUGGUUAGGGUUUGAUUUAGAGUUAAGAUUUGAUUUAGGAUUCGGAUUUGAUUAGGAGUUGAUUUAGAGUUUAGGAUUUUUUUAGGAUUUGAUUUAUGAUUUAGGGUUUUAUUAGGAUUUAUUUAAAGUUUAAGAUUUAGUUAGUUUUUGGCCUAAAGUUUGAAUGAAGUCUAAUAGGAUUUUAACCAGGAUUAAAUUAAGAUUGAAUUGAGAUGUAUUUGAGAUAUAUUUGUGAUUAUUCUAAUAUUUUUUUAAGAUUUUUUAUUAUUUCUUUGUAAUUCCUUUGAAAUUUCUUUAAAUUUGAUUAAAACUUGUUUAACAUUACUAUGGUCUGAUUAGAGUUUAGUUAGUAUUCUAUUAGAGUUAAGAUUUUUUCGUUAUAAUUUCCAUUCUAUCUUCCAUAGCCAUGUACUUGGAGCAUUCUCAGGCAAGACUUUAUGUAUUACAAUAAUAUAUUGUAUUUGAAUAUGCCAAUUUGUACCAUAUUGUUGAAUGAAGUAUCAUGGUUUAGGAUUUAGGAUUUUAGGGUUUAAGAUUUAGGUUUUAGAAUUAAGACUUAGGAUUUAGAAUUAAGGAUUUAAGGAAAAAA
This 975-nucleotide long non-coding RNA is filed under the name Physcomitrium patens. RNAcentral's name for it is "long non-coding RNA (PPAT_LNC003250)". Lineage: Eukaryota; Viridiplantae; Streptophyta; Bryopsida; Funariales; Funariaceae. The record is from RNAcentral.